This 248-nucleotide ribosomal RNA is filed under the name uncultured bacterium. RNAcentral describes it as "partial 16S ribosomal RNA". It matches the Rfam family "Bacterial small subunit ribosomal RNA", at positions 57 to 305 of the family's 1533-position model. The record is from RNAcentral.
GCAAGUCGUGGGGUAACAUAGUGCCUUGCUGCUGAUGACGACCGGCGCACGGGUGCGUAACGCGUUUACAAUCUACCCUUUACUGGGGGAUAGCCCGAAGAAAUUUGGAUUAAUACCUCAUAGUAUGUUAUAAUGGCAUCGUUAUUUUUUUAAAGUUGGCGGUUAAAGAUGGGAUGCGUGAUAUUAGUUUGAUGGUGUGGUAACGGCACACCAUGGCAACGAUGGCUAGGGGCUCUGAGAGGAGGAUC